GUAGCAACAGUCGUCCUGGACAAUCAAAUAUGGGAAGUGAUGGGACUUAUGAAUACCUCGAACAUCGUGCAGAACCAGUUGAUCAUUGUCACCAACCAACACACAUUAGUUCUAGACUAUGUUACAGCUAAAGAUGGAGGUAUGUGCCAGGUUGUGGGACCCGCUUGU
Bufo bufo (common toad) is the source of this 168-nucleotide long non-coding RNA. RefSeq lists it as uncharacterized. The record is from RefSeq and is a predicted model, not a curated record. Lineage: Eukaryota; Metazoa; Chordata; Amphibia; Anura; Bufonidae. The transcript is spliced from 3 exons.